CACGCCGUAAACGUUGUAUACUAGGUGUUAGUGGCUUGACCACUAGUGCCGCAGCAAACGCAUUAAGUAUACCACCUGGGGAGUACGCCCGCAAGGGUGAAACUCAAAGAAAUUGACGGGGGCCCGCACAAGCGGUGGAGCAUGUGGUUUAAUUCGAUGAUACGCGAAGAACCUUACCUGGGCUUGAACUGUGCUUGACAGGUGUAGAGAUACGCUCUCCCUUCGGGGCAAGUACAGAGGUGC
This 243-nucleotide ribosomal RNA is filed under the name uncultured Turneriella sp. RNAcentral's name for it is "partial 16S ribosomal RNA". It matches the Rfam family "Bacterial small subunit ribosomal RNA", at positions 796 to 1041 of the family's 1533-position model. Lineage: Bacteria; Pseudomonadati; Spirochaetota; Leptospiria; Leptospirales; Leptospiraceae. The record is from RNAcentral.